RNAcentral lists this long non-coding RNA (1545 nucleotides) under Anser cygnoides (Swan goose). RNAcentral describes it as "lncRNA (ENSACDG00005007940.1)". The record is from RNAcentral. Lineage: Eukaryota; Metazoa; Chordata; Aves; Anseriformes; Anatidae.
CGGGGGGCUUUGCACGGGGCCUCACGCUUGGCGGCGCCGUGCAGAGAACGGGCAGUGGGAGCUGUGCCACCGGCACGGCCGCCACCACGCCGCCGGCUCGCACGAGGACGUCACCUUCUACCUGGUGAUCCGCCGCAAGCCGCUCUUCUACAUCGUCAACGUCCUCGUGCCCUGCGUGCUCAUCACGCUGCUCGCCGUCGGCGCCUUCUACCUGCCCCCCGACGCCGGUGCGUUGCACGAGGGGGGGGGGGGCUCGUGCAAGGGCCGGGGGUGUGUGUGUGUGUGUGGUCGCACGAGGGGUUUGCACCAGGGCGUUGCAGAUUCACAGCAGGGUUUGGGGGUGGGGGGGUGUUGCACAGCCGAAGCAUUUGCACGUGGACUUUGCGUGGUUUGUGUCAGAGCUUGCACGGGGGGCACGUGGGGGUGUUGCACAGCACCUUGCACAAGGGCAUUGCACUGUGCGUUGCACACGGGCGUCGCAAGAUGUGUUGCACGGGGGCAUUGCAGGAUGCAUUACACGAUGCUUUGCACAAUGCACAGUGCGUUGCGUGCCGUGUUGCACGCUGCAUUGCACGGGAGCAUUGCACGGGAGCACCGCACGAUGCAUUGCACGGGAGCACUGCACAGGAGCAUUGCACAGGAGCACCACACGAUGCGUUGCACGGGAGCACUGCACGAUGCAUUGCACGGGAGCACCACACGCUGCACCACACGAUGCAGUGCACGAGAGCACUGCACGGGAGCACCGCACGCUGCAUUGCAUGAGAGCACCGCAGGGGAGCAUUGCACGGGAGCACCGCUUGCUGCACCACUCGAUGCAAUGCACUAGAGCAUUGCACGGGAGCAUUGCACAGGAGCACCGCACGCUGCAUUGCACGGGAGCGCCGCACGCUGCGGUGCAUCACACAGUCGCGCACGCGCGCCGCAGGGGAGAAGAUGACGCUGUCGCUGUUCGCGCUGCUGACGCUGACGGUGUUCCUGCUGCUGCUGGCCGACAAAGUGCCGGCCACCUCGCUGGCCGUGCCGCUCAUCGGGCGCUACCUGACGGGCACCCUGGUGCUGCUCACGCUCUGCGUCAUCCUCAGCGUCGGCGUCCUCAACCUGCACCACCGCUCGCCCGCCACCCACGCCAUGCCCCCCUGGGUGCACAGGGUGAGGGCGGGGGGGGGCAGGACGGGGACCCCUGGGUGGCCCCGGUGGUCACCGGGUCCCUUUUGGGUCCCUCAGGUCCAUUUUGGGUGCUCUGGGUGGUCUCCGGGUCCCUUUUGGGUCUCUUUUGGGUGCCCCCAGGUCCAUUUUGGGUCACUCAGGUCCCUUUUGGGGCCCCCAGUGGUCACCGGGUCCCUUUUGGGUCCCCUUUUGGGUCCCUCAGGUCCAUUUUGGGUCCUCUGGGUGGUCUCUGGGUCCCUUUUGGGUCCUUUUUGAGUCCCUCAGGUCCAUUUUGGGUCCCCUGGGUGGUCACCGGGUCCCUUUUGUGUCCCCUUUUGGGUCCCCUUUUGGGUGCCCCGAGGUCCGUUUUGGGUCACCGGGUCCCUUUUGGGUCCC